Molecule: long non-coding RNA, 1988 nt
Organism: Mesocricetus auratus (golden hamster)
Lineage: Eukaryota; Metazoa; Chordata; Mammalia; Rodentia; Cricetidae
Exons: 2
Source: RefSeq, a predicted model, not a curated record
GGGACAGUCGUGCACCACCAGCUUGACGUUCCCGAAUGCGCUGGCCUGGUACUCGGUGAACACCGGGCGCGCCACCGUGCCGGCCGCGUUCAGCAACAAGCUGCUCUCGUCCCCCGACACCAGCGGGCUUCUCCCCAGGCUGACCUCAGACUCAAGGUUGACCAUGUUCAUUGCUGCUCUGUUCAUAAGAGCCAGAAACUGAAAGCAACUGGACAUCCCUCCAUGGAAGGACAUCACGCUCUCCUUCCUCCUUGUUGUGGGGUUCGACGGUGCUCCCGGAGCUGUGCUCCCUCCUUCCAUUGUGAAGAGCUCUGCCGUCUGUCUGUCCUGCUGCAGGCGGAUGUGCGGGUUAUUUCUGACUUUCACGUGCUUCUAACAAGUUUGUCAGGCCCCUUUCUUUAAAUAUGUGAGACUGCUAAAUCACCUGAUUUCAAAAACUAUUUUUAUCCACUGCCUAGAGCAUGGGAAUUCUCCCUUUAGUCUUCAGAUACUAUGUUCUUUAUGUAAUUAUAUAUCACGAACGUAUGCCUGGUGCUACAUUAUGUGCGUUACAAUACUGAUUUAUAAUUUACAGCCCCAGAGAAGGGUCUGUUGCUAUCUGAUUUGCAAGAGAGGACAGACACAUUAAGUGACUUACGUAAGCAGUGAGUGAUGGGGCUGAGACUCAGACUUGGGUGAGCAGCCCGGAGCCUGGGUCCUUAACCACGAUGCUAAGUGGAUGCUUAGAAAUACCUUCUUCGUUGUUUAAAGUUGUUGUCAUUUGUUUCUGCUUUCUGUAUAUCAGUGCUUUGCCUGUUUGUAUGUCUGUGUGUCACUUUUCUGCCUGGUGUCCACAGAGACCAGAAGAGGGCAUGAAUCUCUCGGAAUUCAGUUACAGACACUUGUGAGCCACUCUGUGGGGGUUGAAAGCUGAACAUCUUCUAGAGGGCAGCCAGUGUUCUUACCUGACUAGUCCUCUCUCAUCCAUUUCCUUUCGUUGUGUGUGUGUGUGUGUGUGUGUGUGUGAGUGUGUGUGUGUGUGUGUGUGUGUGAGAGAGAGAGAGAGAGAGAGAGAGAGAGAGAGAGAGACUGAUGGCAGCACACACGAUGUCCUCAUACCUUCCAGCAUUUUCCUAACUCCCUUAAACAUUUUUUUCAAACAGAAUUCAAUGGACAUUGGAGGUCUGAAUGAAAAAAGCUAAAAAUACAGGCCAGAGAAGAGGCUAGGCUGGGAAAGGAGCUUGCCGCCAAGCCUAGAGGCCUGAGUUUGAUUCCCGGGACCCCCACAAGGGAAGGAGGGAACCAGCUCUUUCAAGUUGUCACUGCUUCCUCAUGAACUUGAAACUUGUGCCCUCCCUAGCAAAUAGUAAAUAACAGAAUAAAAGCGCAAACGCCCGGCACCUUCUGAUUAGUUUGUUGGACACAUAAGCAACUUUAGGCAAGAUGGAAAUAUGUUUAUCAAAUGUCAGCCAAGCUUUUUGUGUACUAGCUGAUGGAACUGAAAAAUAAAUGUCACAUGUAGCAAGCCAGCUAAUGAAGCAGCUCGUCCAUUGAAGCCACACACCCCAGCGAACUCUCAGAGCACCUUCAAAUAAACAAACAAUGGGAUGCUGGCAUGGCUGCAUUGUGGCAUCAACCAAGAACUAAAGCCAAUCAGACACCCUCAGUUGUUCUGCUUAUGAGACUUACUGCAUUCUAUAUUUAUUAGAGUGUGUGUGUGUGUGUGUGUAUGUGCGCGUGUGUGUGUACCAUACGUAUCUACUUCUGUUUCUGAGACAGGAUUUCAUAUAUCCCAGGCUGGCUUCACACUCACUAUGUAGCUGAGGAUGACCUUGAACCCUUGAACCCUCUGCCUCUACCUCCCAGAUGUUGAGAUUUUAGGCACGCACCACCAUACCUAGCACGUAUGGUAUUGGGGAUCAAACCCAGGGCUUGACACAUGCUAAACAGCACUCUAUCAACUGAUCUGUGUCUGCAUCACUGUGUUAAUAAAUGUUUCAUUCAAAUAA